RNAcentral lists this ribosomal RNA (492 nucleotides) under uncultured bacterium. Its description in RNAcentral is "partial 16S ribosomal RNA". It matches the Rfam family "Bacterial small subunit ribosomal RNA", at positions 29 to 507 of the family's 1533-position model. The record is from RNAcentral.
AGUGAACGCUGGCGGUAGGCCUAACACAUGCAAGUCGAACGGCAGCACAGUAAGAGCUUGCUCUUACGGGUGGCGAGUGGCGGACGGGUGAGGAAUACAUCGGAAUCUACUUUUUCGUGGGGGAUAACGUAGGGAAACUUACGCUAAUACCGCAUACGACCUACGGGUGAAAGCAGGGGAUCUUCGGACCUUGCGCGAUUGAAUGAGCCGAUGUCGGAUUAGCUAGUUGGCGGGGUAAAGGCCCACCAAGGCGACGAUCGGUAGCUGGUCUGAGAGGAUGGGCAGACACACGGUGAGUGAGACAAGGCACAGACUCCGACGGGAGGCAGCAGUGGGGAAUUUUGGACAAUGGGCGCAAGCUUGAUCCAGCCAUGCCGCGUGCGGGAAGAAGGACUUCGGGUUGUAAACCGCUUUUGUCAGGGAAGAAAAGGUUCUGGCUACUACCUGGGACUCAUGACGGUACCUGAAGAAUAAGAACCGGCUAACUACGUG